Molecule: ribosomal RNA, 448 nt
Filed under: uncultured bacterium
Lineage: Bacteria
Description: SSU rRNA
Rfam family: Bacterial small subunit ribosomal RNA
Source: RNAcentral
AGAGCGAACGCUGGCGGCAGGCCUAACACAUGCAAGUCGAGCGCGUGUAGCAAUACACGAGCGGCAGACGGGGGAGUAACACGUGGGAACGCGCCCUUUGGUUCGGAAUAACUCAGGGAAACUUGAGCUAAUACCGGAUAAGCCCUUACGGGGAAAGAUUUAUCGCCAAAGGAACGGCCCGCGUCCGAUUAGCUAGUUGGUGAGGUAACGGCUCACCAAGGCGACGAUCGGUAGCUGGUCUGAGAGGAUGACCAGCCUCACUGGGACUGAGACACGGCCCAGACUCCUACGGGAGGCAGCAGUGGGGAAUAUUGGACAAUGGGCGCAAGCCUGAUCCAGCCAUGCCGCGUGGAUGAUGAAGGCCUUAGGGUUGUAAAGUCCUUUUAACGGGGAAGAUAAUGACGGUACCCGUAGAAUAAGCCCCGGCUAACUUCGUGCCAGCAACCGC